This 919-nucleotide ribosomal RNA is filed under the name uncultured bacterium. RNAcentral describes it as "bacterial SSU rRNA". It matches the Rfam family "Bacterial small subunit ribosomal RNA", at positions 8 to 917 of the family's 1533-position model. The record is from RNAcentral.
AGAGUUUGAUCCUGGCUCAGAUUGAACGCUGGCGGUAUGCUUAACACAUGCAAGUCGAACGGUAACAGGAACUAGCUUGCUAGUUUGCUGACGAGUGGCGGACGGGUGAGUAACGCGUAGGAAUUUGCCUUAAGGCGGGGGAUAACUCGGGGAAACUCGAGCUAAUACCGCGUAUGCUCUACGGAGUAAAGUGUGGGACCUUCGGGCCACACGCCUUAAGAGAAGCCUGCGUAAGAUUAGCUAGUUGGUGGGGUAAGAGCUCACCAAGGCGACGAUCUUUAGCUGGUCUGAGAGGACGAACAGCCACACUGGGACUGAGACACGGCCCAGACUCCUACGGGAGGCAGCAGUGGGGAAUAUUGGACAAUGGGGGCAACCCUGAUCCAGCAAUACCGCGUGUGUGAAGAAGGCCUUCGGGUUGUAAAGCACUUUCAGUUGGGAGGAAGGAGUAAUGUUUAAUAGGCAUUAUUAUUGACGUUACCAACAGAAGAAGCACCGGCUAACUCUGUGCCAGCAGCCGCGGUAAUACAGAGGGUGCAAGCGUUAAUCGGAAUUACUGGGCGUAAGGGGCGCGUAGGUUGUUAGUUUAGUCAGAUGUGAAAUUUCAGGGCUUAACCUUGAGAGGCCAUCUGAUACUGGCUAGCUAGAGUACAGUAGAGGGAAGAGGAAUUUCCGGUGUAGCGGUGAAAUGCGUAGAUAUCGGAAGGAACAUCAGUGGCGAAGGCGUCUUCCUGGACUGAUACUGACACUGAGGCGCGAAAGCGUGGGUAGCGAACAGGAUUAGAUACCCUGGUAGUCCACGCCGUAAACGAUGAGAACUAGCUGUUGGGCACGACAGUGUUUAGUAGCGAAGCUAACGCGCUAAGUUCUCCGCCUGGGGAGUACGGCCGCAAGGUUAAAACUCAAAGGAAUUGACGGG